This 253-nucleotide ribosomal RNA is filed under the name uncultured bacterium. Its description in RNAcentral is "partial 16S ribosomal RNA". It matches the Rfam family "Bacterial small subunit ribosomal RNA", at positions 524 to 776 of the family's 1533-position model. The record is from RNAcentral.
UACGGGGGGGGCAAGCGUUGUUCGGAAUUACUGGGCGUAAAGGGCUCGUAGGCGGCCAACUAAGUCAGACGUGAAAUCCCUCGGCUUAACCGGGGAACUGCAUCUGAUACUGGAUGGCUUGAGUUCGGGAGAGGGAUGCGGAAUUCCAGGUGUAGCGGUGAAAUGCGUAGAUAUCUGGAGGAACACCGGUGGCGAAGGCGGCAUCCUGGACCAACACUGACGCUGAGGAGCGAAAGCCAGGGGAGCAAACGGG